RNAcentral lists this ribosomal RNA (468 nucleotides) under uncultured bacterium. RNAcentral's name for it is "partial 16S ribosomal RNA". It matches the Rfam family "Bacterial small subunit ribosomal RNA", at positions 28 to 507 of the family's 1533-position model. The record is from RNAcentral.
GACGAACGCUGGCGGCGUGCUUAACACAUGCAAGUCGAACGGAAAGGCCCUGCUUUUGUGGGGUGCUCGAGUGGCGAACGGGUGAGUAACACGUGAGUAACCUGCCCUUGACUUUGGGAUAACUUCAGGAAACUGGGGCUAAUACCGGAUAGGAGCUCCUGCUGCAUGGUGGGGGUUGGAAAGUUUCGGCGGUUGGGGUUGGACUCGCGGCUUAUCAGCUUGUUGGUGGGGUAGUGGCUUACCAAGGCUUUGACGGGUAGCCGGCCUGAGAGGGUGACCGGCCCCAUUGGGACUGAGAUACGGCGCAGACUCCUACGGGAGGCAGCAGUGGGGAAUAUUGCACAAUGGGCGGAAGCCUGAUGCAGCAACGCCGCGUGCGGGAUGACGGCCUUCGGGUUGUAAACCGCUUUCGCCUGUGACGAAGCGUGAGUGACGGUAAUGGGUAAAGAAGCACCGGCUAACUACGUG